This 954-nucleotide ribosomal RNA is filed under the name Clostridioides difficile. Its description in RNAcentral is "bacterial LSU rRNA". It matches the Rfam family "Bacterial large subunit ribosomal RNA", at positions 1772 to 2724 of the family's 2925-position model. The record is from RNAcentral. Lineage: Bacteria; Bacillati; Bacillota; Clostridia; Peptostreptococcales; Peptostreptococcaceae.
GGUGGCCGCAGAGAAUAGGCCCAAGCGACUGUUUACCAAAAACAUAGGUUUCUGCUAAGUCGCAAGACGAUGUAUAGGAGCUGACGCCUGCCCGGUGCUGGAAGGUUAAGGGGAUCUGUUAGAGCAAUCGAAGCAGUGAACUUAAGCCCCAGUAAACGGCGGCCGUAACUAUAACGGUCCUAAGGUAGCGAAAUUCCUUGUCGGGUAAGUUCCGACCCGCACGAAAGGCGUAACGAUUUGGGCACUGUCUCAACAAUAGACUCGGUGAAAUUGUAAUUCCGGUGAAGAUGCCGGAUACCUGCGACAGGACGGAAAGACCCCAUGGAGCUUUACUGUAGCUUGACAUUGGGUCUUGGUACUACAUGUACAGGAUAGGUGGGAGGCUUUGAAACCAGGACGCCAGUUUUGGCGGAGCCAUCCUUGGGAUACCACCCUUGUAGUACUGGGACUCUAACCAUAGGCCAUGAAUCUGGUCUUGGGACACUGUCAGGUGGGCAGUUUGACUGGGGCGGUCGCCUCCCAAAAGGUAACGGAGGCGCUCAAAGGUUCUCUCAGUACGGUCGGAAAUCGUACGUAGAGUGUAAAGGCAAAAGAGAGCUUGAUUGCAAGACAUACAGGUCGAGCAAGGAUGAAAAUCGGACUUAGUGAUCCGGUGGUUCUGCGUGGAAGGGCCAUCGCUCAACGGAUAAAAGCUACCCUGGGGAUAACAGGCUUAUCUCCCCCAAGAGUCCACAUCGACGGGGAGGUUUGGCACCUCGAUGUCGGCUCAUCACAUCCUGGGGCUGUAGUAGGUCCCAAGGGUUGGGCUGUUCGCCCAUUAAAGUGGUACGCGAGCUGGGUUCAGAACGUCGUGAGACAGUUCGGUCCCUAUCCGUCGCAGGCGUAGGAAAUUUGAGAAGACCUGUCCUUAGUACGAGAGGACCGGGAUGGACGUACCUCUGGUGUACCAGUUGU